AUAAUAUGCUGAAUAUACCGGUUCUCGUUAGAUCACCGAAGUCAAGCAUCAUUGGGCGCGGUCAGUACUUGGGUGGGUGACCACCUGGGAACACUGCGUGCCGUU
RNAcentral lists this ribosomal RNA (105 nucleotides) under Caerostris darwini. The record is from RNAcentral. Lineage: Eukaryota; Metazoa; Arthropoda; Arachnida; Araneae; Araneidae.